UAAAGACAAUAUGAAUACAUAUAUUUCAUUAUGGAUAAAAUGAAACUAAUUUGGUGUCAUAAGUCUUGGUAUAUUUGUCUAAAAGAUUGGUCGAACUUAGAGAAGUUUGACUUAAGACAAACAUAAAUGUUGUACUCCCUC
Non-coding RNA from Brachypodium distachyon (stiff brome), 141 nucleotides. The record is from RefSeq and is marked provisional. Lineage: Eukaryota; Viridiplantae; Streptophyta; Magnoliopsida; Poales; Poaceae.